This is a long non-coding RNA of Herpailurus yagouaroundi (jaguarundi), 704 nucleotides long. RefSeq lists it as uncharacterized. NCBI's taxonomy places the organism in Eukaryota, Metazoa, Chordata, Mammalia, Carnivora, Felidae. The record is from RefSeq and is a predicted model, not a curated record. The transcript has 3 exons.
GGCUUCUGAUCCGACUUUCCCUGUGUGGGAGCCUGUGGUGUCCUCACCUUUCAAAGUCUUCGUUCCCUAGAGUUUUGGGGAAGAGAUAGGUAUAGAAUGGCAGGAGACGGGAAAGGGAGCUAAAAGUCACCUGAGAGAAACAAGAAAAAGGUAAGGGGCCCCCAAGAAGGGAGAGGCUUAGCAGCUAAAGGGCUGGGAAGUGUCUAGGAAUUCUGGGCUCCUUGGGGCCCUUGCCAUUCCCGGUCAUUUCUCCCAGGCCUGCGGGGUGUGGCGGAGCCAUGGCAGACAGCCGUGUCCCUCCGUGGGGGCAUCAGGCAACGGGGAGGGUGUUGACAACAACAGUGUGUGAGGCAGCUGGGCCAGCAGUCUGGAAAAAGCCAUGUGAGCAGACAGAAUGUAAACAGGGAGCUCUUGGCGUUGAAGGAGUUGAAGGCGUCUCCUGGCCCCCUCUCCACCCCAGGUCUCAUUCCCGCCAUGCCCAGGAAGCCAGACCUGGACACCUCUUGUCAGCUUCUCUCUACCAGGUUUCCUGCAUCUACACCCUUUUGGAGCAACUUUUCCAGACCACCUUCCCAAUCUGCGCAUUGGUCCUUCUGUUUCUCAUCGUGCUGGAACCCUACUCACUGAGCAAGGACUGGUCUUGACCCCGUCUGGCUCUACAGCAGGAAAGCUCAGGUCAUGAUCUGACAGUUGGUGGAAUCGAG